UAUAUUUAUUAGAAACGUAGCUGUUCUUUGUCUCGGUGAUCUCAUGCACACACAAACUUUCUGAAUCCCUUUGCAGCCUGCUGAUAUCUACCUGAUUGAUGAGCCAAGUGCAUAUCUCGAUUCAGAGCAGCGUAUUGUGGCUUCUAAAGUCAUUAAGCGGUUCAUUCUCCAUGCGAAGAAAACCGCAUUUGUAGUUGAGCAUGACUUUAUAAUGGCGACCUAUCUGGCAGACCGAGUCAUCGUCUAUGAAGGACAACCAUCCAUUGAUUGUACUGCAAAUUGUCCUCAGUCACUGCUCACUGGGAUGAAUCUCUUCUUAUCCGUGAGUGUCUUAUUACUAACUGUAGGGGCAAGAAAAAAAGGGACCUAAUGAUUUAUAUUUACCCUGCAGCAUCUGAACAUCACCUUCAGAAGGGAUCCCACCAACUUCAGACCAAGGAUCAACAAAUUAGAGUCGACUAAAGACAGGGAGCAAAAGUCUGCUGGCUCAUACUACUACUUGGAUGAUUAAGACAACUACCAUGAGGUUCUUAAUCUCUAAAUCCCAAUUCUUGUUUUUUGUCGCUCACACAGCAUUUUAUGGAGAGCGAAUACCUGAAAUGUUUGUUCUCUCUUUGUUUCCUUUAUGGGUUCAUCACAGAGCAUAUGGCAUGAUGUGGACAAAACAUUGUGCGAGUUACAUCUUUGCUGUGAGGAAGUUGAUCUAAGUGAGCUCGAGUAUUUUGCGCAACCAUCUGUUUUUCGGAGUUCUUUAGGAGAUGUUACUCUUCAAAGCUUUUGUUCAUCAGUUUUGAGCAAAUAAUAAGAGUUUCUGAAUCUUUUUUAACCUUUGUUUCUUUUGGCUUUUGUAUUUUCUGAGUUGAUAAUUUACUGUUGUGGUGUUGGUAUUUGGAUUUCAUAAGGAAUGAACUGCUUCUGUUUUUGCUUCUCACAUAGCCUCUAUUGGGAAACUUUUUUUCAACAUGGUUCCCGCAGCAGCAGUGUACCCAUGAGCUUUUGGGAUUAUAACCACCCCGUAGAAAGUUUCACCUAAAGAAAGAUCUUCAAGAUGAGCACAAGCUUGUUGUGUUUUAACGAGUCCAUGUCCAACUAUUUAUUGUCUAAUUUUUUUUUGUCUGGUUAAUUAUGAUAUUACAAAUUAUAAGAAACAUAUUUAUUGUCUAAUUAGUACAAUAUUGUCAAUUUUAGAUUUAAUAAAUUGGUUUGUAUAGAUUUACUUUUGGACUCAUUUUUAAAAAGGGUAGGAUCUUUUAACUUAAUUUCUGUCACAUAGUUCCAUUUUUAACUCUUAAAAAAUACAAUUAAGAGUUAUUUUGGAUUCACCCUCUAAGAUAAACUUCUAGGUUCACUAAUCAAUAAAAUUUUAUUAUUUUAAAUUUGAUAUUUAAAAAAAAAUAUUGUCAAGUUAUAUCAUGUUUUUAAAAUAAAAAAUAUAUAAAAAAUAAUAGUUACCGAAAAAAAUUAGAAAAAAUAUUUUUAACGUCGUGAGCAAAACAUUAAACGAUAAAUCUUAAACCCUUGGGAAAACCUCGAACUCUUGGAUAAAUCCUAAUCUAAAUAAAAAACACUAAACACUAAAACCCUAAACUCUAAACCCUUGAUUUAGUAAUUUGGAUUUAGAGUUUAAGAUUUAUCUAAGGGUUUAGGAUUUAUCCAAAGGUUUAGUGUUUACGUAAAGAUUUAGGGUUUAUGGAUUAAGAUUUAGGGUUUAGUGUUUUGCUGACGAUUUUAAAAAUAUUUUUUUUAAUUGCUACUAUUUUUUAUUUAUUUCUUUUUACCUUUUAAUUUUAAAAACAUAAUAUAAUUUGACAAUAUUUUGUUUCUUUUUUUUUAAAAUAUAUCGAAUAUGAAAUAACACAAUCCUAUUAGUUUGUGAACCCAAAAAUAAGUCUACAAUUAAUAUCGUGAAUGGUAUUUUGGUCUUAUUGCAAAUUUCUCGUCAGUCCGCUCUGAUACCAAUUGUUGGGUUUUAAUAAGCUUAUGUCCAAUUUUUUAUUGUCCGACUAAUAUGAUAUAUUGUCUACUUUGUAUCUAACAGACUGGCCUGCAUAGAUUUAUUUUUGAGUUUUUUACCAAAAUUAUCCAUAUUAAUUAGAGUUGGACAUUUUUUAUAUAUUAGACACUUUUUAUCUAAAUUUUCAAUGCGAAAUUUUAUUUGAUAUCUAAUAAAGCCGAGAUAACACAUGAAAAAGUCAGUCACGUUACCAGCUUCUUGUGAUCAACUUGAUAUACUUCAACGAUACCUUGUAUGACUAUUUGUAAUAUAUUUAUUCACCGGUUGUGUUCCAAAGAAACAAUGUCUCGGGGAUCCAUAUGCGUGAAUACACACAACACACUCCGCAGGGCUCAAAUUUUCAUCUUUUGCAUAAAGAUUCAGCAAUGCAUUGCAUAAGUCAGAAUCACAUCCCAUGCCAGCCUCUAUUGCCAAACAAUGAACCAGUGGACAUAUCUUCUAUAGGUUUAAACUGGAUAACGUCGAGAGUGCAAGUAAUAGCGUUGACGAAUCUCUAACAAGAUGUUUCUAAUUAGAUCGUUUACUGCGCCUAUCUAAUUGGGCUUUUUCCUUCUUAAAUUGUUUAUACGCAACUAAUUAAAAUGUUUAUUUUUCUCAAGUUUGACAAUUGACAACAUACAUGAUGCAUGAAUAUCUAUCUGUUUCUCUGCUUGGCUGGAAAUUAUUAUUCGUUUGUCAUAAGAGAAUUAACUAAUUCCUUUCACCCUGUUUAAAAAUAAUAUUAACGGUGUAAAAAGUCUUUUCUCUCUUAAAAAGAGAGUUCUCUCUCGAACUUCUUUUUUCUCUUAUCAAUUUCUUAUCUUUCAGAGAUAUUAGUGAUGUUCUGAGAGUGAGAGAGUUCGCCGUUUUUUGCUCUCCGGUUUCGGUUUCAUGUGGCCGGCCUUCGACUCCAGCAUUUUAACCUUACCCUCCGGUAAAGAACGACUGGCUUUUGACUUUGGGAAACUGUUGCUUAGUUAGCAAUGGCUUCGCCGGCUUCUGUCUCCGGGAAGCGAUGACUCCUUCAGCAUCGCUCUCUCCGGCACCGUUUGAUUUUCGGAUCUGUUCUUCUUUGUCCGACUGCCUCUCGAUUUGAAUCUUCGAUGAUUCUCCUCCCAAGUUGAUUGGUUUAUGCAUCUUUAAACUUAUCUCUAUCAUCAAAGAUGCCGGUUCUUCACAUGCAAGAUACUCGAAUAAGUAAGUUCGAUUGUAGACGGUUGAUGUUUUUCCCCGAUUCGUAGAUCCACCAAAUUUGAUUCCUGGGUUCGAGCCUUAUGAAGAUUGGUUUCUUCUGUGGUUCGAUUUCACCGUCGGUGGAGCUCCGUCGCGUCUUCUCUUUAGUUCCGGUGGACGGAAGUGGCUCUUCGUCUUGACCGUGUUUAUUGAUCGUCGGACGAUCGUCCACGUGGAAGAGGACGUGCCUCAACUUGUUUCCUCGACGGUUUUCUUCUUGUGGGCUGAAAGCCACAAUUUGUUUAAUGUGGGUCUGUUUGUUUGGCCUUUUUGUUUUACAGUUUAAGAUGGACCGCUGUUUAGCCCUUUUGUUUUUGGAUUUUACCCGAUUGGAUCUAAUCCUUUGAUAAAAUUUUCAUUUGACAAAAAAAAUAAUAUUAACGAAGUGUUCUAUACUAUUUACUAUAUUGAUCAAAAUUAAUAAUUUCACUGAUUAAAAAUCAUUAUAAACACAAUAAUUACAUUGUGAUUGUGGCGAUUAGUUUGACAAGACAUUAUUAUCAGAAAAAAGAUUGAAAUUUUGUUUAGGUACAUAUAGCUGCUCAACAUAUGAUACUUGCGGAAUAGAAUCUCAAAAAUCAUAAUGGUCAAAGUCUUUCUCAGACCGUACUGUACCCGUUACCUCUCCCGAAAGUAUUUGCAUAUAAAUGUUGACAAAAAUUGUUUCGCGCCCUUAAAGCAUCGCCUAUAUAUUUUUUUUUAACGCUGAUUUAUUAUAAUCUUACAAUUAUGAUAUGAGAAAUAUUACAUAGAUGAUUCGACAACAUGUUAAAGAUCCCCUGUAAGCCUUUAUUCCGUAGUCUGCAUAAUUGUUUAAUAAAUCGCUUUCUCCGAGACUUGAAAUCUGGAUGUCUUGUAAUCUGCAAAUAAAUUAUAUAGUCUGAGAUUUGAACCCUAAGUGACUCUCCCUUUCUCUGUCAGAGAAGGAAUCAACAUUUUCUUGGCUGGCUUUGUUCCCACUGAGAAUCUACGUUUUAGAGAUGAAUCUCUGACCUUCAAGGUAAACUUUCUUUUGAUGGUGCAGCAGUUAAUGUCGCUUCAAUCAUUGUUGUGUGUUUGAUGGUUCUUCUUCUUUUGUUCUGAAGGUUUCUGAGACUCCACAAGAAAGUGCUGAGGAGAUACAGUCGUACGCUAGGUACAAGUACCCCACCAUGACCAAAACACAAGGAAACUUCAGGUUGAAAGUCUCCGAAGGUGAAUUCACCGACUCUCAGAUUAUUGUAAUGCUUGGGGAGAAUGGUACAGGAAAGACAACGUUCAUCCGGAUGCUGGUACUCUCUUCCUCCAUCACAUCCUCUCUUUUGGUUAAGUGCUGGACACUCGUAAACCUGUAUUUAUUGGUAAUGAUUUCUGCAGGCGGGUUUGUUGAAACCUGACGAGACUGAAGGAUCAGACAUAGAGAUUCCAGAGUUCAAUGUUUCUUACAAGCCGCAGAAGAUCAGUCCCAAGUUUGAGAACUCAGUUAGGCACUUGCUGCAUCAGAAGAUUCGGGAUUCUUACAUGCAUCCUCAGUUUGUGUCAGACGUGAUGAAGCCGCUGCAGAUUGAGCAGCUGAUGGAUCAACAAGUUGUUAAUCUCUCAGGAGGAGAGUUGCAAAGGGUUGCAUUAGCUCUGUGCCUCGGAAAGGUGAAGUAUUUUGUGUUAGAAACUUAGCUUCUUUUGUUUUGUCUCGGUGAUCUCAUGCAUACACAAACUUUUGUGAAUCUACUUGCAGCCUGCGGAUAUAUACCUGAUUGAUGAGCCAAGUGCAUAUCUCGAUUCAGAGCAGCGUAUUGUGGCUUCUAAAGUCAUUAAGCGGUUCAUUCUCCAUGCGAAGAAAACCGCAUUUGUAGUUGAGCAUGACUUUAUAAUGGCGACCUAUCUGGCAGACCGAGUCAUCGUCUAUGAAGGACAACCAUCCAUUGAUUGUACUGCAAAUUGUCCUCAGUCACUGCUCACUGGGAUGAAUCUCUUCUUAUCCGUGAGUGUCUUAUUACUAACUGUAGGGGCAAGAAAAAAAGGGACCUAAUGAUUUAUAUUUACCCUGCAGCAUCUGAACAUCACCUUCAGAAGGGAUCCCACC
Molecule: long non-coding RNA, 5288 nt
Filed under: Brassica napus (rape)
Lineage: Eukaryota; Viridiplantae; Streptophyta; Magnoliopsida; Brassicales; Brassicaceae
Description: long non-coding RNA (BNAP_LNC000137)
Source: RNAcentral